CACCCGUUCGCCGCUCUCAAAUCUUUUUAGCAAGCUAAAAAGAUUUGAGAGCGGCGAACGGGUGAGUAACACGUUGGAAUCUGCCCCCAAGUCAGGGAUAGCCAUUGGAAACGAUGAUUAAUACCGGAUGUGCUCUUCGGAGUAAAGAUUUAUCGUUUGGGGAGGAUCCUGCGUACUAUCAGCUAGUUGGUGAGGUAAUAGCUCACCAAGGCUAUGACGGUUAACUGGUCUGAGAGGAUGAUCAGUCACAAUGAAACUGAGACACGGUUCAUACUCCUACGGGAGGCAGCAGUGAGGAAUCUUCCACAAUGGACGAAAGUCUGAUGGAGCGACACCGCGUGAAGGAUGACGGUCUAACGAUUGUAAACUUCUUUUCUGAAGGAGCAUAAUGAGAGUACUUCAGGAAUAAGGGACGGCUAAAUACGUGCCAGCAGCCGCGGUAAUACGUAUGUCCCAAGCGUUACCCGGAAUUAUUGGGUGUAAAGGGUCCGUAGGUGGAUUUGUAAGUCAGGUAUGAAAGACCGAAGCUCAACUUCGCGUUUGUGCUUGAAACUGCAGGUCUAGAAUCAGGGAGAGGUUAGCGGAAUUCUUAGUGUAGGGGUGCAAUCCGUAGAUACUAAGAAGAACACCAAAAGCGAAGGCAGCUAACUGGAACUCGAUUGACACUGAGGGACGAAAGCGUGGGGAGCGAAGAGGAUUAGAUACCCUCGUAGUCCACGCCCUAAACGAUGAUAACUAAGUGUUCCUGAUUUGCGGGAGUGCUGUAGCUAACGCGUUAAGUUAUCCACCUGAGGAGUACGGUCGCAAGAUUAAAACUCAAAGGAAUAGACGGGGACCCACACAAGCAGUGGAUCACGUGGUUUAAUUCGACAAUAAACGGGGAAUCUCACCCAGACUUGACAUCCUGAGAAUCUUUCAGAAAUGAGAGAGUGCCUUUACGGGAACUCAGUGACAGGUGCUGCAUGGUUGUCGUCAGCUCGUGCCUUGAGGUGUUCGGUUAAGUCCGUUAACGAGCGCAACCCAUGUUCUUAGUUACUAUGUCUAAGAAGACUGCCUUGGUUAACAAGGAGGAAGGUGUGGAUGACGUCAAAUCAGCAUGGCUUUUACGUCUGGGGCUACACACAUGAUACAAUGGUCUGUACAAAGAGCAGCAAUACCGCGAGGUGGAGCUAAUCUUCAAAGCAGAUCUCAGUCCGGAUUGGAGUCUGAAACUCGACUCCAUGAAGUUGGAAUUGCUAGUAAUCGUGAAUCAGAUAUGUCACGGUGAAUAUGUUCCUGGGUCUUGUACUCACCGCCCGUCACGGCAUGGGAGUUGGUAAUAUCGGAAGCUCCUCUAGUAAUAUGGGGGUCCAUGGUAGGACCAAUGACUGGGCUGAAGUCGUAACAAGGUA
This 1391-nucleotide ribosomal RNA is filed under the name metagenome. Its description in RNAcentral is "bacterial SSU rRNA". It matches the Rfam family "Bacterial small subunit ribosomal RNA". The record is from RNAcentral.